UUGACAUCCAGAGAACUUAGCAGAGAUGCUUUGGUGCCUUCGGGAACUCUGAGACAGGUGCUGCAUGGCUGUCGUCAGCUCGUGUUGUGAAAUGUUGGGUUAAGUCCGCAACGAGCGCAACCCUUAUCCUUUGUUGCCAGCGAUUCGGUCGGGAACUCAAAGGAGACUGCCGGUGAUAAACCGGAGGAAGGUGGGGAUGACGUCAAGUCAUCAUGGCCCUUACGAGUAGGGCUACACACGUGCUACAAUGGCGCAUACAAAGAGAAGCGACCUCGCGAGAGCAAGCGGACCUCACAAAGUGCGUCGUAGUCCGGAUCGGAGUCUGCAACUCGACUCCGUGAAGUCGGAAUCGCUAGUAAUCGUGGAUCAGAAUGCCACGGUGAAUACGUUCCCGGGCCUUGUACACACCGCCCGUCACACCAUGGGAGUGGGUUGCAAAAGAAGUAGGUAGCUUAACCUCCGGGAGGGCGCUUACCACUUUGUGAUUCAUGACUGGGGUGAAGUCGUAACAAGGUAAGCGUACGUGU
This 527-nucleotide ribosomal RNA is filed under the name uncultured bacterium. RNAcentral's name for it is "bacterial SSU rRNA". It matches the Rfam family "Bacterial small subunit ribosomal RNA", at positions 981 to 1509 of the family's 1533-position model. The record is from RNAcentral.